GAAUAUUGGACAAUGGGCGAAAGCCUGAUCCAGCCAUGCCGCGUGUGUGAAGAAGGUCUUCGGAUUGUAAAGCACUUUAAGUUGGGAGGAAGGGCAGUAAGCGAAUACCUUGAUGUUUUGACGUUACCGACAGAAUAAGCACCGGCUACCUCUGUGCCAGACGCCGCGGUAAUACAGAGGUUGCAAGCGUUAAGCGUAAUUACUGGUCGUAAAGCGCGCGUAGGUGGUUCGUUAAGUUGUAGUUGAAAUCCCCGGGCUCAACCUGGGAACUGCAUCCAAAACUGGCGAGCUAGAGUAGGGCAGAGGGUGGUGGAAUUUCCUGUGUAGCGGUGAAAUGCGUAGAUAUAGGAAGGAACACCAGUGGCGAAGGCGACCACCUGGGCUCAUACUGACACUGAGGUGCGAAAGCGUGGGGAGCAAACAG
Molecule: ribosomal RNA, 424 nt
Filed under: uncultured bacterium
Lineage: Bacteria
Description: partial 16S ribosomal RNA
Rfam family: Bacterial small subunit ribosomal RNA
Source: RNAcentral